This 57-nucleotide transfer RNA is filed under the name Trichuris ovis. Its description in RNAcentral is "tRNA-Asn". The record is from RNAcentral. Lineage: Eukaryota; Metazoa; Nematoda; Enoplea; Trichinellida; Trichuridae.
UAGAGUAAAGCAUUUCCAUUGAUGCAAGAAACUGUUAUUUUCUAGAAUACACUCUAG